UUUGUACGGGUUUAGACCCGUAGCAAAUAGCUCCGUAACACGUGGUCAAACUACCCUCUGGACCGGAAUACCCUCGGGAAACUGAGGCUAAUUCCGGAUACUGCUUUCAUGUUGGAACACAGAAAGUCGGAAACGGUCCGCCGCCGGAGGACGUGACUGCGGCCGAUUAGGUAGACGGUGGGGUAACGGCCCACCGUGCCGAUAAUCGGUACGGGUUGUGAGAGCAAGAACCCGGAGACGGUAUCUGAGACAAGAUACCGGGCCCUACGGGGCGCAGCAGGCGCGAAACCUUUACACUGCACGCCAGUGCGAUAAGGGGACCCCGAGUGCGAGGGCAUACAGUCCUCGCUUUUCGUGACCGUAAGAAGGUCUCAGAAUAAGAGCUGGGCAAGACCGGUGCCAGCCGCCGCGGUAAUACCGGCAGCUCGAGUGAUAGCCACUAUUAUUGGGCCUAAAGCGUCCGUAGCCGGCCGAACACGUCCGUCGGGGAAAUCCACCUGCUCAACGGGUGGACGUCCGGCGGAAACCAGUCGGCUUGGGGCCGGGAGACCAGAGAGGUACGUCCGGGGUAGGAGUGAAAUCCUGUAAUCCUGCAC
This 596-nucleotide ribosomal RNA is filed under the name Halococcus sp. RNAcentral describes it as "bacterial SSU rRNA". It matches the Rfam family "Archaeal small subunit ribosomal RNA", at positions 58 to 653 of the family's 1478-position model. The record is from RNAcentral. Lineage: Archaea; Methanobacteriati; Methanobacteriota; Halobacteria; Halobacteriales; Halococcaceae.